CCCAGGCUAGGGGUCCAAUGGGAGCUGCAGCCGCUGGCCUACACCACAGCCACAGCCACGCGGGAUCCGAGCUGCCUCUGGGACCUGCACCACAGCUCACAGCAAUGCUGGAUCCUUACCCCACGGAUCGAGGCCAGGGAUCGAACCCACCUCCUCAUGGAUACUAGUAACAUUUGUUUCUGUUGAGCCAUGAUGGCAACUCUGAGAGGCCUGUUUUCAUCCCAGCCAGUGAGGGGUAGGUGGGGACGCUGCCCCAAAGGAGCAUUGUGGGGUGAGGACAAUUGAUAGAGCCACACUCUCCUCAGUCCCUGUCUCAACGGCUGGCUGUCACCAUACAGCAAUUCCUUUGCCAGCAGCUGUCCUUUCAGCCCCACCCUGGGGGACCUGACUGUCCCCAUGCUGUGGGGGAGCUCAAAUGACCCCUCACCAGCAGAGUUCAGCAGACCUCAGACCUGGGCCACGUGGCCCAGGAGAGAAGUGCAUAUAUUGAAAACAAACAUCUUAUGGAGUUCCCCUCGUGGCUCAGUGGUUCACGAAUCCGACUUGGAACCAUGAGGUUGUGGGUUCGAUCCCUGGCCUCACUCAGUGGGUUAACGAUCCGGCGUUGCCGUGAGCUGUGGUGUGGGUUGCAGACAUGGCUCAGAUCCUGCGUUGCUGUGGCCCUAGUGUAGGCCGGUGGCUACAGCUCCGAUUCGACCCCUCGUCUGGGAACCUCCAUAUGCCGUGGGAGCGGUCCUAGAAAAGGCAAAAAGACAAAAAAAAAAGAUAAAAAAAAAUUUCAUGAAAUGAGACCGAUUCACUUUUCCAGCAUGUAUUUAUUGAGUCUUUAUCUGGUGCCAGGUCGUUUUAGAUGCUGUGGCUCUCAGCUAACAAAACUGUCAGAAAUGCCGAAUUCUAGUGCAGAGAUGAGACCAUCAGUAAUGUUGUCACUCGACAACAGGUGGAGAUGGGAAGGGGUGACUUUCCAUCCGCCUUUAACCCCGUGGGCUUCAGUCCAGGUGUUUGAAUUGGGUCCAGUUCUUCCUGACCUUGGGUCUGUUGACUCCCAGUGAAUUUAUUCUGUUUGGUAGUAGGCGGUUUCAAGUGCCAGUGUAAACUGUCUUGGGACGCCCCACCCCAGUGUGGUAAGAGAUAGGGCUGCGUGAUCCCAGAUCCUGGAAGAAGGAAAAACCUGCUCUCUCUUUGGAAGAGCACCAGUGAGAGAGCGCUUCAACUCUGCUCCAGAAAUGAUGAUUCUCUUGAUGACUUAAUUUAUCAAACUCCUGGGGAAAAGACAACAGGGCAACACAGUUGAGAAACAUAGCAACAGCUCGGCCGUGGGAUGGCUCUGCUCAGUGGGACGGCCGCGGUCCUUAGGGACGGCAGGCCCCCCGGUCCCUCUCCGAAACCACGGAACGAGUGUCCGGCGUGUGGUGUGUCUGAGCUUCUGAAUGGCUUCAUUUACAAAUGAACUGCAGCCUCACUGCUGCGUCUCUGGGCCAGUUGGGUGGUUCACUUCAGGCUCUGGACACGGGGCCCCACCGUCCUGUCCGUGGACUGUGUGUGUGUGCACAGGCUCCCAUCACAACCGCCAAGUAUGCCAGGCCCAUGCACAGAAGCAGGUAUACACAUAUGCAGGUAUAGACACCUGUGCGUGUGCAUGAACAUGAGAGCGUUUGACCCGAGAAUGCACGGAUUUUAAAGGCUGGUGUGUUGGCUCUGAGCCUGUGCGGAUGCGGCUGGACUCGCAGGUCGGGAUGGAGCCAGCUCGGCAGUUGAGCCCUCAGCAUGUACAAGUUCCCAGGCCAGGGAUCGAACUUGUGUGGUGGCAGCGACCGGAGCCACAGCAGUGACAAUGCCAAAUCCUUAACCUGCUAGGCCACCAGGGAACUCCAUGGAAUCUCUAGUCCAUACAGUAGUUUGCAUUCAUUAGGCACUUUAUGUUCCUUAACGGACUUAUAUUGACGGAUGAGGAACUGAAGCUGAGAGGAGGUGGGCCCCCAGCCUCCAUGGGCCUUCGUAGGGGAAGGUCAGGUCUUCCUCUUGGGGCAUCCUCGUCUCCCCCUGAUGAUCCAAGUAUCCGCAGGGCCCAGGCACAGCCUCCCAGAGCUGCAGAGGGUCCGGCCCAGCCCUGCUGCCACGUAACGUCCCCGGGUGAGGCCGGUUCCCUGAACAGGCUCUGAGCAGGCAUCUCCCCGCAGGAUGCUCCCUGUGUUCAGUGACAGUGCAGGUGUGACAGCGUCCCAGCCCGGAGCGCGGGUCAAAUCGGGACCAGGGGCUCCUGGCCUCCCCUCUUCUCUAGGCGUGAGGCGUGUUCCCUUUACACCUGUUCCCUGGUUGAAGGUGAAGCUCUGGGUAAAACAUGAAGCUGGGUUAAGAUCUAAGACGUGAGCCAGGUGUGUCAAAAGCUUUUGGAAUUGCAAAUUUUUAUACACGACAGGAGCCUGGGAAGAGUUUGCUGAAGGGAGGGGGACAGGUUGGUGGAUAACUGUGGUUCUCGGUGGGGAGACCCAGGCCCUGACUGCUGGGGCGGGUUUGUGCUCAGGGCUGCAGACGGCGCCGCUGCACACCAGGCUGAGAGCUCUGGUCCCAUGGAGUUGCCAGGCCUCCUGCCUCUCUCUCUGCAUCCUUUGAUUUCUUCUCUUCUUAUAUGUUCUUUCUUUCCUCUGGUCAGUCUCUGUAAUUGGCUCAUGAUGAAAAAAGUCAUUACUUUUUUUUUUUCAGUGUCUUUUUGUCCUUUUUAUGGCUGCUCCCGCGGGAUAUGGAGGUUCCCAGGCUAGGGGUCCAAUCAGAGCUGUAGCCGCUGGCCUACACCACAGCCACAGCAACACGGGAUCCCAGCUGCGUCUGCGACCUUCACCACAGCUCACGGCAACACCGGAUCCUUAACCCACUGAGCAAGGCCAGGGAUCGAACCCACAACCUCAUGGUUCCUAGUCGGAUUCGUGAACCGCUGAGCCAUGACAGGAACUCCACUACAUUUUUGAUUAUUAAAAAAAAAUGUUUUUCUAGGUAGAUUUUGGUCCAGAGAUUAGGAAAUGACCUGAUUACUGUAUCUGGCGGCUGCAAGUCUGCAGACUUGGCGCUGGGAGAAGCCACUCUUUCUCUUGGUGACCUUGCCUCCGAUUAAGUCAAGUGGGACGUGUCCAGCGACCGUGCUUGAUCGAGACCAGGGAGACAGCCUGAGGCUGCUGGGGCCCAAGCACCGCGGGGGCACAGGGGGCUGUGGGGCGGGGCCUGGCAGAGCUGUGGUGUCCAAGUCCAGGACGCCAGGCCCUCGGUGGCCCAGGAAGCCGUGCCCGUGGGGGGUGUGGAUGCCGGGGCCCCGCGGACACCAGCCCGGCGCCCGGUGGAGAUGGAGUCGGCCUGCAGUCUUCUCCUCUGGGCCUGCGUCUAGUGCGGCAUCAUCACUGCUUCUAGAUGCGGAGGGCCCCCCCGGGAGGGGGAGGGAAGGGGCCGAAAGGUCAGGUUAUGGCCCCUCCCACUCCUCGCAGCCCCACCCCCACAGCCCAGGCCCUCAGCGUCCACCCCUGAUUCCCAUCCUGGCCCUGCUCUCAAGGACGUCCCUUCUCGGCUCCUCGAUGCCAGGAGAUGCGCUGUUAGUGCCCUUUAAACGCCUGCUGUUGCCCCGAGGUGGGGGUGGGGUGGGUACCAAGGGCUCCCUUCCUGGGAAAGUCACGUAUUGAUCAGCUUUCCAGCUUUAGCACCCCACCCCCGACUCUUGCUCGGUUUGCCCAG
Molecule: long non-coding RNA, 3717 nt
Filed under: Sus scrofa (pig)
Lineage: Eukaryota; Metazoa; Chordata; Mammalia; Artiodactyla; Suidae
Description: lncRNA (ENSSSCG00030005500.1)
Source: RNAcentral